This 359-nucleotide long non-coding RNA is filed under the name Physcomitrium patens. Its description in RNAcentral is "long non-coding RNA (PPAT_LNC005780)". Lineage: Eukaryota; Viridiplantae; Streptophyta; Bryopsida; Funariales; Funariaceae. The record is from RNAcentral.
AACUGCUAAUCUUUGAUACCACUUUAUACUCACGAUCUUGUAUCCACUGACUGUCUUGUUAGAUUAACCCAAUAAAUUUCAUUCACUCCGCAUACUCAAUCCUAUAGACACCCUUUUAAUUCUUCAAUCACAGAUGUAACUUCGAUUUCACAAAACAGUGAAGAGUAAUCAAACCCACUUCAUUAAAAAUCCUGAUUCGCCAUUACAACACCGACUUCAGCAACGAUUGCCUCAGUCUUCCCAAAACCCUAUAAAGAAAAAAAAAUCCAAUUCUCCCUCUUUUCUUCCCCGACCCAAAGCAUGAAGCUCGCUCUCCGAUCCUUCUAAAAACUCUCCAAAAAACUUAUUCUCUCCCCCUC